This 27-nucleotide non-coding RNA is filed under the name Mus musculus (house mouse). The record is from RNAcentral. Lineage: Eukaryota; Metazoa; Chordata; Mammalia; Rodentia; Muridae.
UGCAAUGGUUAAGAGGAGCAGCCCAAU